Chenopodium quinoa (quinoa) is the source of this 1355-nucleotide long non-coding RNA. RefSeq lists it as uncharacterized. The record is from RefSeq and is a predicted model, not a curated record. Lineage: Eukaryota; Viridiplantae; Streptophyta; Magnoliopsida; Caryophyllales; Amaranthaceae. The transcript has 2 exons.
GGGUUUUUAGACAAAGAGAAAUGGCACCGGUUCAGAUCAAACCGGUGCCAAAAAUACAAAUGGAAAAAAAAACCGGUUCAUCACAUUAUUAACCCUAAAUAUACUCGGUCACUCCGGCUCUUUAUUCAUUCCCUCAUAUCUCCUUCUCUCUCCUCUCUCCCUUCUCUCCUCCUCUCCCUUCUCUCUCCUCUCAUCUCCCAUAUUCGAUCUCCUCUCUCUUAACCGAUCUUCUUUCAUCUCCUCUCCCUAGCUUCUUCGAUCUACUCUCUUUCUUUGAUCUACACCACCACAAAUUCGACCACCACCACAAAGCCCACCACCACAACAUCACCACUGCCGCAAAGCCGCCGCAAAGCCGCCGCCGCCACCACAAAGGUCGACCACCGCUGCAAAGCCCACCAACAUCAACAUCAACAACAAUUUCUGGGUAUCCUUCGAGGUGAAGAAUCAAAGUGUUGAUUUUGGAAUUUUUAUUUUAUUGUUGUAAUUUUUUUUCGUUGUCUUAUUAAGGAUGGCAUCAAAUGAGUUAGUACGAAGUACAUAUAAACCAAGAUGUAAGUGUGAAGAAUGAGGAAUUGAGGAUAGCAUCUAUACCCAUAAAUUCUUGUCAUAGCCGACUAAUGGCGUGUCAAAAGUUGGUGGUUAGAUAAAGGAUCUCGGAAAAAAGGGUCUCAUAAUCUUGAAAUACCAAGUAAUUUUUUUUUUCUUUGAUGAUGAUGAUGAAUGAGAAGAUGAUGAUGAUCAACUGUUAAAAAAAUACAAGUAAAUGCAACUAGCUAAUCAAUCAAUUAGCUAAUUAAAGAAAAAUUUUAGUACUUUUUGAGUAUUAUGCUUUAUUACUCAAAAAGAAAAUUUAAGGUAAAGAAAAUACUUGUAUAAGAUAAAUGAAAAGCUUUAAAAGUGGCCGUGCUUAGUACUAACGGGGUGAGUAUAAAUUUUGUAAACAUCUUUAAAUGUUUAUUUAUUUAUUUAUUUUGGGUGCACAUGGGGGCCUAGGCCCCAGACUAUUAAACGCGAAAAACAAAAUCAAGGAGAUAUAGAACAUGUUAACUAUAUCAUUAUGCAAAAUACGACCUUAAGUUAAAAGGGGAUUUGAAUCAACUCGAUAAUGUUGUUUUGUAUAAUUUCUUGAUUGACUAGCCAAUAUGCUGCUCUAUUUCCUUCACUAUAGAUAUGCUUAAUCUCCACUUCCCAGCUCAGAUUAGCUAUUUAAUUUUUGCAAUUAGCAUGCAUUUAUGAUGGAUUGUUAGUGUUUGUAAUUGUCAUUGUAAUUGUUAGUUUGGAUUUAAAGUAGCCAAUAUUAUUCUGUAAACUUUACUAUUCUCAAGUUCAAUUAAAAUUUCCUUCCCUACCAA